CCUACGGGCGACAGCAGUGAGGAAUAUUGGUCAAUGGACGAGAGUCUGAACCAGCCAAGUAGCGUGAAGGAUGACUGCCCUAUGGGUUGUAAACUUCUUUUAUAUGGGAAUAAAACGUUCCACGUGUGGGAUUUUGUAUGUACCAUAUGAAUAAGGAUCGGCUAACUCCGUGCCAGCAGCCGCGGUAAUACGGAGGAUCCGAGCGUUAUCCGGAUUUAUUGGGUUUAAAGGGAGCGUAGGUGGAUUGUUAAGUCAGUUGUGAAAGUUUGCGGCUCAACCGUAAAAUUGCAGUUGAAACUGGCAGUCUUGAGUACAGUAGAGGUGGGCGGAAUUCGUGGUGUAGCGGUGAAAUGCUUAGAUAUCACGAAGAACUCCGAUUGCGAAGGCAGUUCACUGGACUGCAACUGACACUGAGGCUCGAAAGUGUGGGUAUCAAACAGGAUUAGAUACCCUGGUAGUC
This 460-nucleotide ribosomal RNA is filed under the name uncultured bacterium. Its description in RNAcentral is "partial 16S ribosomal RNA". It matches the Rfam family "Bacterial small subunit ribosomal RNA", at positions 338 to 795 of the family's 1533-position model. The record is from RNAcentral.